Patella vulgata (common limpet) is the source of this 176-nucleotide long non-coding RNA. RefSeq lists it as uncharacterized. The record is from RefSeq and is a predicted model, not a curated record. NCBI's taxonomy places the organism in Eukaryota, Metazoa, Mollusca, Gastropoda, Patellidae. The transcript has 3 exons.
CAGUUACGACAUUUACAAGAAACGUGUGAUCUAUUGAGAAGAAUUAUAAGAAUAAUGUAUUUAAGUAAACGAUUACACGGACAGUUGCAAGGUGGUUCUAGAGAAAUAACCAAAGCUGCUCAAAGUUUAAAUGAAUUAGAUUAUGUUUGUGAAGGCGUUGAUUUAAGUGGUAUAGA